This 571-nucleotide ribosomal RNA is filed under the name uncultured Catenulispora sp. Its description in RNAcentral is "bacterial SSU rRNA". It matches the Rfam family "Bacterial small subunit ribosomal RNA", at positions 335 to 916 of the family's 1533-position model. The record is from RNAcentral. Lineage: Bacteria; Bacillati; Actinomycetota; Actinomycetes; Catenulisporales; Catenulisporaceae.
ACUCCUACGGGAGGCAGCAGUGGGGAAUAUUGCACAAUGGGCGAAAGCCUGAUGCAGCGACGCCGCGUGAGGGAUGACGGCCUUCGGGUUGUAAACCUCUUUCAGCAGGGACGAAGCGAAAGUGACUGUACCUGCAGAAGGAGCACCGGCUAACUACGUGCCAGCAGCCGCGGUAAUACGUAGGGUGCGAGCGUUGUCCGGAUUUAUUGGGCGUAAAGAGCUUGUAGGCGGCCCGUCACGUCGGGUGUGAAAACUCGCGGCUCAACCGCGAGCCUGCACCCGAUACGGGCGGGCUAGAGUUCGGCAGGGGAGACUGGAAUUCCUGGUGUAGCGGUGGAAUGCGCAGAUAUCAGGAGGAACACCGGUGGCGAAGGCGGGUCUCUGGGCCGAUACUGACGCUGAGAAGCGAAAGCGUGGGGAGCGAACAGGAUUAGAUACCCUGGUAGUCCACGCCGUAAACGUUGGGAACUAGGUGUGGGGUCCAUUCCACGGGCUCUGUGCCGCAGCUAACGCAUUAAGUUCCCCGCCUGGGGAGUACGGCCGCAAGGCUAAAACUCAAAUGAAUUGACGG